CUCUUCUUUUCUCCUCCUUCGUCUAACGCUUUUCAACGGCAUAUCGAGGCAGACUUUUUUCACCCGUCGAUAAAAAAAAAUAUAUCCUCUGGGAACAACAGUCAGCAACGAAAUUCGCUUUUCCCUUAUAGUAUCUAUAAAAUCGGAGGAGCACACGUCUGAGCUUUUAUAAUCACGUUCA
Long non-coding RNA from Neodiprion fabricii, 181 nucleotides. RefSeq lists it as uncharacterized. Lineage: Eukaryota; Metazoa; Arthropoda; Insecta; Hymenoptera; Diprionidae. The transcript has 3 exons. The record is from RefSeq and is a predicted model, not a curated record.